CAAUCUCCCCCUAAAAUCUCCUCCCCUUUCAAAAUCAAAAUCUUUAUCGUCCACUUUGACCGCACUUUGAUUCAUCAAUUUAUUUCAUUCGUGAAUUUCGAAAACGGUGGGACAGAAGAGUUAAAGAACCGUAGGAACGACACACGCGUAUAACGGCGGCAGAAAUGGAAAUUCUAACUCUUUAAUUAAACACGGAGCGUCGUUAUAAUCUAAUUCCCCAGAAGGGGGACAUCAGAAGAGGCUUGCGUAACACUGCGAGUCUCGGUUCGUCGAUCAAAGUGGCGAGUGUAUCGUUUCGAACGUACGCGAGAAUUCCCCCUGCUGAUUUCGAAUGGUGGUUCGCACGGUUAGCUAAGCACCUUUAUAUGCUCGCAAGCACGUAACGAGAGUGGUCUUAAUAUCGUUGCUCCGGGACAAUCCUGAGUGGCGAAGUCGCACGAUCAACCGAUUUCUCUUGUGUGGAAAUGCGUGAAAUGAUCGCGAUUAGGUUCAUCGUUACGAUUUGAUCAACUUUCUUUCGUCGAAUUAUUGAUUUUCCCGAUACAUUUCAAUGAUCCACGAGCUCAAAUUUCCUCCUAUAUCCGGGGUUACGAUAAACUUGCCUUCGACCAGCCAUGCCCGACAAACUAAAAUUGCUGCACCAUUGAUCAUCAUCCAAUAGGGACGUAACAAUGCACGUUGCCGAAAGAACGUUCGACUAAUAAAUCGAGAUCCCUGCAACACCAAGAGAUCCCUCUAUAUAUGAUGAAUUUUUUUUUUCCAGAGCACAAACUCUCGAUUACUUCAGAACGUAGUAUCGAAACGUGUUUUUCAAAAAAAAAAAAUAUUUUUCGCAAAUAUUAUGCGCCACAUAUUGACGUUUGUUAACGGGGUGUCGUUAUCAAUAGUACCGAUAGUACCGAGUAAACUAAAAGAGGAAUAGAUUUGUUUUUGGGAUUAACGAAUACGUUUGAAGCUAUGUACGCGUGCAGAUAUCGCGUGCGAAUUAGAUUAGAAUUAAAAUAACAUUAAAGAUAAUUAAAUUAAUUAUAGAGAUAUACGUGUAUUAUAUAUUUGUUUGAAAAAAUCGAAGCCAAUUUAGAUAGACCGAGAUCGUAUUUAUGAGCGUGCAAAGAUCGAUAAAAAUAACAGUUAAUAAAGGUUUUAAUAAAUAUCUAAUUUUUUUUUGAAUGAAGACUGAAUAAAGAUAAAACACGUAAAUACAUAUCCACAAAAUCAAUUGUAUUGGAAAAUUGGUUAAAAUCAGGAUAAUUACUUUAAAGAAAAUAUUUUUAAAGCGUCUUGAUUCUAACUACAAUAAUAUAGAGUAAAAAAUAUAUAUAUGGGAACAUUAAUUCGUCACAAUAGGACGCCUUUCGUAUGAGCGUUUGGAAAGGGUUUGGUAAAACGGUUUGCCUCGUAAAAUUCGAGGAAAAUAUUUUCACGAACAGACAGGAUUUUGCGGUUAUUUUGAGUUCGGCUUUGACACUGUCACCGAAAUUCCCAUCGCGCGUAUUUCUUAUUGUUUGUUACCGUUCGAUAUACGUUUCCGAAUGACACGGAUCGUUUGUUAGAGGCAAAGGUUAGAAAAGUGCGAUUUUGGAAUAUUUAGUGAAAUGUGAACGAAUAUUUUCUCUGCUCUGGAUGGAUGGAAUGCGAUUUUCAAUUACUUUUUCGAUUAUUAACGCUACAAGUAACUCAAAGUAAGUCGAAUUGAUCGAUUUUGGAUAAUUAGUGUGUAAAUAUUUUUUAAGAGAAUUAAUAUUAAUUUUUUUUUUAAACAGAAUAUAUAUAUAUAUAUUUUACAUAAUACUUUAAUUCCAUUCGAUAAUGCAGUAUUAAAAUUUUUGUUUGUAUUUUUGAUUGAGAAUAAUUAUAUUUAUAUGAUCGAUACAUUAUUUUUUAUAUAUCUAAUAAUAUAAAUAUCUCGUGUCUAGAAAAUUUUUCAUUUAGAGAUUUCGCUAGACAAGCGACACCGUGAUACAUUAACGGACAUUCCCUGCUGUCUGGCCAACUUAGCUUGCUGACGGUUGGCUGGUUGCCUACGUCUAGGCAUUUUUGGUGUAUAAUUAAAUUUAUAAUAACUUUGAUUUAACAACUCGAAAAAAAAUACGUCUCACUCAUUACGUCGACUAUGUAACAUUUGCACGAUAAAUAAUAAAAAUUUUAACAAGCAAUACGUUAAUAAAAGAUAUUAAACAAUAAAUUAGAACUAUAUCGAAAACAAACGAUAUAUAUAUAUAUAUAUAUAUAUAUAUAUAUAUAAAUCGAUCUUCUUCAAAAGAAUAAACAAAAUUAAAAUUCAAUAUUAUUCGACUCGACUAAAAACAAUCGUUCGAUAUUGGCGCACGUUUAUACGCGCACUGUUGAUAAAACAGAGAGAAACAAAGGAAAGAGAAGAAUAAAAAAAAAAGAGAGAAAAAAGAAACUACAAAUACAAGAGUGGAGGAGAACGAAGAAACAGAGCAAUGAGAUAUUCUUGCUCGAAACGAGUCGCCUUAAUUAUUCCAGGCUGCGAUGAAUGCUAAUUCAACAUUUUCCGCGAGUUUGUGAAACAGCAGACGCAGGGACACGCCACGCUGAUUAACGGGCAUUCGAGCCAGCCAGUAUCCUAAAUUCGGCGAUGCGAGCCGGCCUACUGUUGUUUGCCGGUCGAACUUAAUUAACGUUAAUCAGGCCACUUCACUUUCACCUGGCCGACGAAAGGAUGCUAUCCGCUUGGCGGGAAAUAUUUCGAUUGUUUUCUCGUCCAUGGAGAUGCGUUUCUGAUGAUGGCGAGAGUUUUAUAAUGUAUAUAACGAUAACGAAAGAGAAAAUUACACGAGUGUUGUUUAUCGCGUUGUUUCUCCCCACGGCGUGAACCGAUGGUUGUACUUCGUGUGGAAAUAAUUUUAAACCCGAGCUGUUCGACAAUUGUUUUCCUUAAACAGAUAUUAGGAUAAAUAUAAUUAUAAUUAAUGAAAAAGUUGUAUAAAUUGAAAUGUGUAUAAAAACGACGGAAAAAAGAAAAUCUGACGAAUAUUAUACAGGGUGUAAAAUAUUCUAUUUAAUCCAUCAUAUAAUAUCUGUUUAUUUAU
Long non-coding RNA from Apis cerana (Asiatic honeybee), 3056 nucleotides. RefSeq lists it as uncharacterized. The record is from RefSeq and is a predicted model, not a curated record. NCBI's taxonomy places the organism in Eukaryota, Metazoa, Arthropoda, Insecta, Hymenoptera, Apidae.